CCAUUAAAUAAUAAUAAGAAGAAGAUGCGUAGUGGCGUGCACAGACAGCGUGCACACGAACAGGAGGGAGAGAGAACUUGAUAAAGUUCUGCAGACACACCGUUCGAAAAGCUAGCUCUCUCUCUACAUAGCAGAUGGGAGUUUUACUUACAGAAAGGUGUUCUGAGGGCAGAAAGACAAAUGAUUGGUUCAGAGAAAUAACCAAUCAAAAUGCAGAGAAGGCGGGCAGUAAAAAACUAAAUUAACCAAUCAAAAUGGAGAGAAGGCGGGCACUAAAAAGCCGAAAAAAAAUAAUGCGGGACUACAUUAAAAAAAAAAAAAUCCUAAAAAGCCGGAAAAAAAUAAUGCGGGACUACAUUUAAAAAAAAUAAUAAUCCUGUCAGCAGUGGAAGAUCCUUUAAAAAAAAAAUCCUGUCAGCAGUGGAAGAUCCUUUAAAAAAAAAUCCUGUCAGCAGUGAAAGAUCCUGGCUGAGCGGCUGAGAAAACGUCUUUGAAACUGCACCAGUAGAGGAAAAAAAUGGAGAAUAUUUGGAUUGAAGGUGUUAAACAAAAGUUGAAGAAGGUUACAGAUCCUGAUAUCAUCCAAGAAGUAGUUGUUGUUUCUGAGGAGGAGAAGGACUUUAUGCAGUCCUACAUCAAGAAAUUGGAAGUGGAAUCUCACAGCUACUUUUAAUCUCCUGUAUGUACUCACAAGGACUACUACUACUAUGCCUGUGAGAGAUCAAAAAAAGCAAAGGAAAUCCAACCAAAACCAGGGCCAACUCUUGCAAAGCCUAUGUGUCUUUUAGUAUAAUUAAGGAUGCUGUAUUUACUGGUGCUGUUGUGCACAAAAUGCUGAAACACGUUGGACAUGAUGUCGGGAUGUCGGCAUACAAGAAGAGGGUGUAAAAAAAUUUUUUGAUCCAGAGCUACUGGUUUUCAUUGACAUGUGGCUUGAACAAGGUCUAUCAGUGUCCGAAACACUUCUAAAAAGUGUUGAUUGGGCAGAACGUCAUGGCCACAUGGACAAACACAAUCGUCGAUACUAUGUUACACCAACUAUGUUGACAUGCUAGUCACAUCAGAGCUAAAGGAGAACAUUUGUUUUCAUCAGCCUUUAAGUGAUGAUAAACCCUUGAUAAUUGUAGUACAGACACCCUGGCAAAAACUGAUUUUAAAAGAACAUAAACAUCCCAUGGUGUUCAUGGACGCCACCUACAAAAGCAUUACCUCAUAUGGCUGUGCGUUUUAUGCACUUCUUCUGACUAAUAGUACUGGAAGAGGGAUUCCAUUUGCAUACUUUAUUAUCAGCCGUGAAUCAACAGCCACACGCCUGGAAAAGCUUUCUAGAUGUAACCCCGGGUUUCUUCCCAGUUUUCAGGUCAGUGAUGAUUGACAAGGACCUGAAAGAGCUAAAUGCCAUAAGACAGAUUUUUCCGUCAGCAAAGGUUCUUGUUUGCUGGUUUCAUGUGCUGCAGGCUGUGCAUCGGUGGUUGGUAAAAAGGGAUGGAGGGAACCUGCAAGUGGACCAGAGAAACGUGGUGAUUCAAACAAUGGUAGCAAUGAAGAUGUGCUUAACGAUAAGACUCUCUCACACCCAGAAAGGAAAUACAGAAACUUGGGGAAGAGGAGUUUAAUAACACAUCAGCUACAAAAUGCAGAGAGCUGGAUUCCUACUUUGGUAGUUCACAUGUAUCUACCUACUUGAACAGUCAAUGGAUUUCUUGUGGGGAGCUGUGGUCCAGUUUCGGCAGGUCAUUUAAUCAUGAAAACAGUGAGACUAACAACAAGGCAGAGAGGUUCUUCCUCACAAUAAAAUAUCAAUUCCUGAAGGGGAACGCGAACAGGCGAAUUGAUCAGCUCCUUCAAUUGCUCUGUGGGGAUGUUCAGAAAUAUUACUGUUACAUGGAUGACCUGGCAGAAAUUGGAAGAAUCAAGGGAGCCAACACUGAUGACCUCUGUAAUGUAGUAAAAUCUAUGAUUGGAAGGGGACUAGAUUCAAAAUGUACAAUUAAUGAAAAUGGAAUAUGUGUUGUUCCACCUGAUACGAGUGCACAGUCUCAUACAGUUGAUUUGGUGAUGGUCAAGUGUGACUGUAGAAGAUACAAAACUGGUUCUUUGUGCAAACAUAUAGUUUUUUCACGAACAGUUGCACAGCAACAAGGAGUAGACAUUCAAAACCUCAAGACUGCUGUUGCUAGAAAAGUCAUUGAUAGCCAUGCAUACAUCUCAGAUCAUGAAAACCUCGCAGUCUUUCACAGUGAUGGGAGUGCAGGAAUUAUAAAUCACAGAAGUCCAAAGUUUUGCACAUGUAUAGCAAAUAGUCAUAGCAAAGAAUGUGUCUAUGUUGGUUUAUGACAUCCUCUACCCACCACUGACACUUUCUGAGCCGAUUUUAAACUAUCCACAUUGCUGGAAUGAACCCAAGAUAAAGACAAAAGAUGAUUGCAGGCCAUGUUGACAGACCUUAUUGAAUGGAGCCAGUCAGACAAGUACACUGAGAACAGGGAGCUGUACAAGAUGGUUGAACUAGUUUUUUCAAACUUCAGUAUUGUGUCAAGAAAAAGAAAAACAACUGCACUACAUGCCUAUCGCCAACAGAUAAAAAAGGCACAUCGUACAGUCACUAUGAAUUAUAUUUGUAGACGUAAAAGCAGAGGGAAAAAAAGUAGAAAGUAGAGCUGCAACAUAUUGACAGAAUUCAAUUAAAUUGAUAGAGGCAUUAUUGCACAAAACUUAUCAAAGUUAUCAAGUAAUUUGUACUUUUUAUUAAUUUUAAUUUGCCACAAAGUUUUAAAGUUUUAAUGAUGUUAGUUUUUAUGAACAAAUGGUAUAGCUAUAAAUAAAUCAAAAUGAAACA
This is an RNA transcript of Trichomycterus rosablanca, 2839 nucleotides long. RefSeq lists it as uncharacterized. The transcript has 7 exons. The record is from RefSeq and is a predicted model, not a curated record. Lineage: Eukaryota; Metazoa; Chordata; Actinopteri; Siluriformes; Trichomycteridae.